UAGGGAAUCUUCCGCAAUGGACGCAAGUCUGACGGAGCAACGCCGCGUGAGUGAAGAAGGAUUUCGGUUCGUAAAACUCUGUUGUUAGAGAAGAACAGCGCAUAGAGUAACUGUUAUGCGUGUGACGGUAUCUAACCAGAAAGCCACGGCUAACUACGUGCCAGCAGCCGCGGUAAUACGUAGGUGGCAAGCGUUGUCCGGAUUUAUUGGGCGUAAAGCGAGCGCAGGCGGUCAAUUAAGUCUGAUGUGAAAGCCCCCGGCUCAACCGGGGAGGGUCAUUGGAAACUGGUUGACUUGAGUGCAGAAGAGGAGAGUGGAAUUCCAUGUGUAGAGGUGAAAUGCGUAGAUAUAUGGAGGAACACCAGUGGCGAAGGCGACUCUCUGGUCUGUAACUGACGCUGAGGUUGGAAAGCGUGGGUAGCAAACAGG
This 429-nucleotide ribosomal RNA is filed under the name Bacteroidota bacterium. RNAcentral describes it as "Bacteroidetes bacterium partial 16S ribosomal RNA". It matches the Rfam family "Bacterial small subunit ribosomal RNA", at positions 355 to 776 of the family's 1533-position model. Lineage: Bacteria; Pseudomonadati; Bacteroidota. The record is from RNAcentral.